Tetranychus urticae (two-spotted spider mite) is the source of this 976-nucleotide long non-coding RNA. RefSeq lists it as uncharacterized. NCBI's taxonomy places the organism in Eukaryota, Metazoa, Arthropoda, Arachnida, Trombidiformes, Tetranychidae. The record is from RefSeq and is a predicted model, not a curated record.
CCAGUAUUGGUAUCAGUAUACUCAUUAUCAACAUUUAAACUCGAUCCUCAACAAAUCUGAAUAUUUUUAGUUUACAUUAGUGAAGGAAACAAUCAUGAACAUUGGAUAUUAAUUUUAACCAACUCAAGAACUGUUUAAAUAAUGAAAUGUUGGGCAUUAAUUCUGGUAUCUACUACUCUAUUGACCGUUUGCCUUUUUGACUGAAUUGUAUUGGAAGCCUAUGUAAUCAUGUAAAUGUAGUGACAAUUAUCACAUAGGAGUUACUAUUAAAAUGGUUCAAUCAAAGAGUGAUGAUGAGGACAAGAAGACUGGAAGAAAAAAGCAAACGAAAAGAAGGCGAAGAAAGAAGAAGAAUAAGAAUCGAUUUGAUAUAUUAUUGUUGUAUAAAAGUGAAUACAAUGAUAUCACUUGAAAAGGAUAUUGCUUAUUCUUUAUGUUUAACGUUCUGUGACAAUUCAAAUGCGACACUUUUCAAAUGUAACACUCAACCAGUGUUACUUUUAAAGUGGUAUUAAUACUUUGGCACUCGCAAUUUUUUGUUACUCACAAGUUAAAAAGGUCUAACCAUAUUUUUCACAUUGUAAUAAAUAUAACUUUGGUUCCCACUUGACCUGAUAACAAUGGAUUAUGUCGAAGGAUAAAGUUAACUUUACAAAAGUUACAUUGAAAAAGACGCUUCUUCUACCCUCUUUAUCCUCUUCACCUUCCUCUCUCCCUCCUUUUUUCAUCCUCUUCCCUCCUUCAUCAUCACCAUCAUCAUUACCAGCGAAACAGUGGAUUAAAGUCUAUUACAUCAAAUUGUUUGUUCAACAUCUAAAAACUCUCCAACCAUCUUAAAGUCCCAAUCUUCAAAACAAAUACAUUUUUUAUACAAUGUAUAACACUUCAACAAUCCCGAGUUAAGUCAAGUUUAAUUGUUCGCACACUUCAUUGUGCCAUCAAUUUUUGGAUUAAAACAUUAGAUUUAAACGUUUAA